GAGUAAAAGUCAAAAAGAGACAAAUUAUUGUUAAUAAUUUAACUGAGCAAAUUCUUACUCAAG
This 63-nucleotide transfer RNA is filed under the name Pariaconus pele. RNAcentral's name for it is "tRNA-Asn". Lineage: Eukaryota; Metazoa; Arthropoda; Insecta; Hemiptera; Triozidae. The record is from RNAcentral.